CGCGCCGGGCGGGGGAGCGAGAGGCGCGGGGACUGGGCGCGGACUCCUGAGAGCGUGGCCUGGCGUCCGCACAGGGUGGAAUUCGUAUUUGGCCAGGAAUCCGGACUCCGAUCAUCCCAGGAGACGCGGACCGGGGGCCUCCAGAGCUCUCCGGAGCGUGCUGCCGCUCCCCACCAGCCACCAGGGACUCGGAGGCCCUUCCUGGGUCCGGAGAAGCGACGGGGACACUUAGGGGAAAACUUUGCCAACUUCGCUCUUGGCGCGGAAGAGGCCGCUGGCCGGAAUGGUGCAGCAGCGGCGGCGGGCCGCGACGCGCAGGGUGGGCCCCGGGCCAGUGCUGGGCACCCUGGAGCGCGUCGGGAUGCCCAAAGUGGGGCGUGAGGCCGGUGGGCUCUUUGCUCCUCCGCUUCGCCCCUGCGCCUCCCGCGACCCGUCUCACUUCCCUGCGUCUCUGAGCGGCCCGAGAGGCGCAGCGCUCAGAGUGGCCUUGAUGGAAGAACCUGGCCCUCGGCGGGAACGAUUUUCUUUUGCUUUACCUCUUCUGGAUCAGCCGUUUUCCACCUGACUUGAGCAGCCCCCUCCCCCAUGCCUUUUUUUUCUCGUUCCCUCCGUCUGUCCUCACAAUUUCCUCUAUCUUCGAUUUCUAGAUCAUUCGCUUUUCUUCUCUUUCCUCCGCUUCCUCAUUGUGCUGUUUUUAUGCCUUUGCCCUGGACCACUUUUCAGUUCACUUUUCUCCCUUCUGCUCCCUCCCUCACCCCCUUCUUAAUGUCUCUUUUUUCCUCGCCCUGAGUCUGUGACUGUGUCCCUUUCCCCCAUCUGCAGUUGCCGUUUUUGAUUUUCUUUCUUUCCUCCCCACUUCCAUCCGGAUCCUCUCCUAUUUCCUCCUUGGAUUUCUGUCUCUCAGGUUCUGUCUCUCAGGUUCUCCUCUCCGUAAAUAUUCUCUCCUCUCCCUCUCCGGGAUCCGUCCCCUCCCCCACGUGGAUCUGCCUCCCCGGCGCCCCCUCCUCAUUCAUCCUGGGAGAUGAAUUUGUCGCCUUAUUGGACGCCGAGGCCAGAGCCGUGUGAGGGGGCUCGGCCAGCGCUGUGCAUUUUCUUCAUGCAUAUUGAGGAGAUGGUAAUGAGCGCGUUUGCAUUGUUGCUUGGAAAUGUUGUGUUUCCUGCCGCAGUUCGCAGUUCGGAGUGGGCGAGGGUGGUGUGGGCCCAGGACAGCCCCUCAGUAGGCACCCGGCCUGGCGGCCGCCGCUGACCCUCUCCGGAUUCCCGGGCUCUGGGGGCCGGGGGAGGAAGCGACCUUGCCGAGCUCCUGACCCGGCCGCCGCCUCCUCCUCCGGUUUGUCCACAAAGGCCGUCGCGCUCCCCUCAUUAAAGCCUCGUUACAGGAACCCCCGGCUGGCUCGCGACGGCUCCUCCGAGCCCCCCUGCCCACCGGCCUCUGAGCCCCUCCCCUGAUUUGAGAGGCCUGUGAUGGAGCGCCACCAGAAAAUUAGUGCCUGACAACGUCGUCUAUUGGCAAUAAAUUGAGAUUCCAAGUGACACGUCGCGGGAUCAAACACAGCCACAUUGUUGUGUACCCUGCUCCGCUCGCUCCUCGUUAAUCUUGGAGGGCGCCUUGGCAUCGCUUGGCCAGGGGAGGUUGUAGGCAGGCCUUUCGGCUGUCAGGACUCGGAUCCUGCCUCUGCCCUGGCUGAGCCCACUUCAGUCAUUCAGGAGGGACUGACUGCCCCUCCCUGAUAAGGUCCAAGGCGCUCAGGAGGCGUGACCCAGGAACGCCUUUCAAUAAGCUGAAGGUUUAUUAAAGUCAGGAGCUUCGAGGGGCAAACUCUGAGUUAAGCUUGUGGGGAAUCGACGUGAGCCUUGCUGGGAAUUCAGAACAUCAAGGUCUGGCCUUGUCUGGAAUUGUCUGGUGUCGAGUUUCCCAAACUUCAAGCUUCCCGCUACUACCUUUAUUAUUUACUUAACAUUUUUCCUUAAAUUGACUCAUUUUUAAAAUCAAAGUACAUAUUUUUGGAAAGAAAAUCUGAUACUACCACUGUAAAUUGAAAAGUAGCUGUUACUCACCAGAAAAGGAAGUGGUAAAAGAUAAACACAGCUAAAACCAAGCAAUGUUAAUACAUGUUAGCCGUUUUGCUGGCUUGGAAAGACUCCUAGAGGCUCAGGUGUGAUGCCACGAGAAUACUCAGAUAGCACACGGACAGGCCCACAUGGCAAUGAAUUGCAACUUGCCAGCAACCAUGUGGGUUAGCUUGAAGUGAAUUCUCUAGUCCUGUGUCUUCAGGUGACUGUAGCCCUGGCUGACCAUGUGACUGAACCUGAGGAGAAGCUGAGCCAAAGGCACACAGAUAAGCUGCACCUGGAUUCCUGACUACAGAAACUGUGAAGUAAUAAAUGUUUGCUGUUCAAAGCCAAGGGUUGGCAAAAUA
RNAcentral lists this long non-coding RNA (2420 nucleotides) under Homo sapiens (human). RNAcentral describes it as "HSALNT0231374". The record is from RNAcentral. Lineage: Eukaryota; Metazoa; Chordata; Mammalia; Primates; Hominidae.